CUACACGGGUAUCUAAUCCUGUUUGCUCCCCCAGCUUUCGUGCCUGAGCGUCAGGACUCGUUUAGGGCGCUGCUUACGCCGUCGGUGUUCCUCCGGAUCUCUACGCAUUUCACCGCUCCACCCGGAAUUCCACGCCCCUCCCCGAGCCUCAAGCCCGCCAGUUUGCGCGGCACCCUCCCAGGUAAGCCGGGAGAUUUCACCGCACACCUAACGGGCCGCCUGCGCACCCUUUACGCCCAGUAACUCCGGACAACGCUCGCCUCCUACGUAUUACCGCGGCUGCUGGCAC
RNAcentral lists this ribosomal RNA (289 nucleotides) under uncultured bacterium. Its description in RNAcentral is "partial 16S ribosomal RNA". The record is from RNAcentral.